CGCAUCUGUGCAUGCAGCAUAUCAAUAAGCGGAGGAAAAGAAACUAACAAGGAUUCCCUUAGUAACGGCGAGUGAAGCGGGAAGAGCUCAAAUUUGAAAUCUUCAAGGUUUUACCUUGACGAAUUGUAGUUUAAAGAAGUGUUUUCCGUUGAAGUUUUGGUAAAAGUUCUUUGGAAUAGGACAUCAUAGAGGGUGAGAAUCCCGUAUUCGACCAUUAUUUUCAGCUGUGUGAUACACUUUCAAAGAGUCGGAUUGUUUGGGAAUGCAGUCCAAAAUGGGUGGUAAAUUUCAUCUAAAGCUAAAUAUUGGCGAGAGACCGAUAGCGAACAAGUACCGUGAGGGAAAGAUGAAAAGAACUUUGAAAAGAGAGUUAAACAGUACGUGAAAUUGUCAAAAGGGAAGCGUUUGACACCAGUGUUGUUUUCUCGAAAAUCAAUUAAAAAGAGUUUAGAUUUUGUUGUGUAUUGACCUUAACAGCUUGCAUUUCAAUUUUCUUGCUUUUUUUAAUGCACUUUUCGUUUAACAAGUCAACAUCAGUUUCUUUUGUUGUAAAAAGGUCAUUGGAAGGUGGCUUUCUUUUCGGAGAAAGUGUUUAUAGCCUUUGACUCCUGCAAUCGGAGAGACUGAGGUCUGCAGCGUAGAUCCUUCGGGGUUAGAUACAUUUGUGCUAAGUUAUAGCUUUUUAUAGACAACUUGUUGACUAUGAUUAGUCUUGUAGCUUACUCGCUUAUGCUAUUUUACCUACGCUUAGGAUGUUGAUGUGAUACUGCGAGC
This 774-nucleotide ribosomal RNA is filed under the name uncultured Neocallimastigales. RNAcentral's name for it is "partial large subunit ribosomal RNA". It matches the Rfam family "Eukaryotic large subunit ribosomal RNA", at positions 26 to 645 of the family's 3401-position model. The record is from RNAcentral. Lineage: Eukaryota; Fungi; Neocallimastigomycota; Neocallimastigomycetes; Neocallimastigales.